Molecule: ribosomal RNA, 688 nt
Filed under: uncultured bacterium
Lineage: Bacteria
Description: bacterial SSU rRNA
Rfam family: Bacterial small subunit ribosomal RNA
Source: RNAcentral
AUUGAACGCUGGCGGCAUGCCUUACACAUGCAAGUCGAACGGCAGCGCGGGAGCAAUCCUGGCGGCGAGUGGCGAACGGGUGAGUAAUAUAUCGGAACGUGCCCUGUAGCGGGGGAUAACCUAUCGAAAGAUGGACUAAUACCGCAUACGCUCUACGGAGGAAAGCGGGGGUCGCAAGACCUCGCACUACAGGAGCGGCCGAUAUCGGAUUAGCUAGUUGGCGGGGUAAAAGCCCACCAAGGCUACGAUCCGUAGCUGGUCUGAGAGGAUGAUCAGCCACACUGGAACUGAGACACGGUCCAGACUCCUACGGGAGGCAGCAGUGGGGAAUUUUGGACAAUGGGCGCAAGCCUGAUCCAGCCAUGCCGCGUGAGUGAAGAAGGCCUUCGGGUUGUAAAGCUCUUUCGGCAGGAACGAAAUGGUUCGUGCUAAUACCACGGACUGAUGACGGUACCUGAAGAAGAAGCACCGGCUAACUACGUGCCAGCAGCCGCGGUAAUACGUAGGGUGCAGGCGUUAAUCGGAAUUACUGGGCGUAAAGCGUGCGCAGGCGGUUUCUUAAGUCAGAUGUGAAAGCCCCGGGCUUAACCUGGGAAUUGCGUUUGAAACUGGGAGACUUGAGUGUGGCAGAGGGGGGUGGAAUUCCACGUGUAGCAGUGAAAUGCGUAGAUAUGUGGAGGAACACCCA